This is a transfer RNA of Pachysolen tannophilus NRRL Y-2460, 73 nucleotides long. It matches the Rfam family "tRNA". Rfam says of the family: Transfer RNA (tRNA) molecules are approximately 80 nucleotides in length. Their secondary structure includes four short double-helical elements and three loops (D, anti-codon, and T loops). NCBI's taxonomy places the organism in Eukaryota, Fungi, Ascomycota, Pichiomycetes, Alaninales, Pachysolenaceae. The record is from Rfam.
AUGACUAUGGCGAAACGGUAGACGCGAUUAAUUAAGGAUUAAUUUUUUAUAGGUUCAAAUCCUAUUAGUCAUA